AGAGUUUGAUCAUGGCUCAGAACGAACGCUGGCGGCGCGCCUAAUACAUGCAAGUCGAGCGAGAAAGUGUAGCAAUACACUUGUAAAGCGGCGAACGGGUGAGGAAUACAUGGGUAAUCUACCAUCGAGUGGGGAAUAACCAACCGAAAGGUUGGCUAAUACCGCGUACGCCUCCGAGUCUUCGGGUUCGGAGGGAAAGCUGCACUGUGAGUGUAGCGCUCUUUGAUGAGCUCAUGUCCUAUCAGCUUGUUGGUAGGGUAAUGGCCUACCAAGGCUUUGACGGGUAGCUGGUCUGAGAGGACGAUCAGCCACACUGGCACUGCGACACGGGCCAGACUCCUACGGGAGGCAGCAGUAAGGAAUAUUGCGCAAUGGGCGAAAGCCUGACGCAGCGACGCCGCGUGGGGGAUGAAGGUCUUCGGAUUGUAAACCCCUUUCGGGAGGGAAGAUGGAGCGAGCAAUCGUUCGGACGGUACCUCCAGAAGCAGCCACGGCCAACUUCGUGCCAGCAGCCGCGGUAAUACGAAGGUGGCAAGCGUUGUUCGGAUUCACUGGGCGUACAGGGUGUGUAGGCGGUUUGGUAAGCCUUCUGUUAAAGCUUCGGGCCCAACCCGGAAAGCGCAGAGGGUACUGCCAGGCUAGAGGGUGGGAGAGGAGCGCGGAAUUCCCGGUGUAGCGGUGAAAUGCGUAGAGAUCGGGAGGAAGGCCGGUGGCGAUGGCGGCGCUCUGGAACAUACCUGACGCUGAGACACGAAAGCGUGGGGAGCAAACAGGAUUAGAUACCCUGGUAGUCCACGCCC
This 800-nucleotide ribosomal RNA is filed under the name uncultured bacterium. Its description in RNAcentral is "bacterial SSU rRNA". It matches the Rfam family "Bacterial small subunit ribosomal RNA", at positions 8 to 802 of the family's 1533-position model. The record is from RNAcentral.